This 1474-nucleotide ribosomal RNA is filed under the name uncultured Bordetella sp. RNAcentral's name for it is "partial 16S-23S ribosomal RNA intergenic spacer". It matches the Rfam family "Bacterial small subunit ribosomal RNA". Lineage: Bacteria; Pseudomonadati; Pseudomonadota; Betaproteobacteria; Burkholderiales; Alcaligenaceae. The record is from RNAcentral.
GGUUCGAUCUGGCUCAGAUUGAACGCUGGCGGGAUGCGCCCUUUACACAUGCAAGUCGAACGGCAGCACGGACUUCGGUCCCCUGGUGGCGAAAGUGGCGAACGGGUGAGUAAUGUAUCCGGAACGUGCCUAGUAGCGGGGGAUAACUACGCGAAAGCGUAGCUAUUACCGCUUUAUACGCCCUUCGGGGGAAAGCGGGGGGACCUUCGGGCCUCGCACUAUUAGAGCGGCCGAUAUCGGAUUAGCUAGUUGGUGGGAAGUAACGGCUCACCAAGGCGACGAUCCGUAGCUGGUUUGAGAGGACGACCAGCCACACUGGGACUGAGACACGGCCCAGACUCCUACCAGGAGGCAGCAGUGGGGGAAUUUUGGACAAUGGGGGAAACCUGGUCGUAUCCCGCGUGCCACGAUGAAGGCCUUCGGGUUGUAAAGCCUUUCUGGCAGGAAAGAAACGGCACGGGAUAAUACCCGUCCUGCAACUGACGAUACCUGCAGAAUAAGCACCGGCUAACUACGUGCCAGCAGCCGCGGUAAUACGUAGGGUGCAAGCGUUAAUCCGGAAUUACUGGGCGUAAAAGUGCGCAGGCGGUUCGGAAGAAGAUAUGAAAUCCCAGAGCUUAACUUUGGAACUGCAUUUUUAACUACCGAGCUAGAGUGUGUCAGAGGAGGUGGAAUUCCCGCGAUAGUAGCAGUGAAAUGCGUAGAUAUGCGGAGGGAACACCGUGCCGAAGGCAGCCUCCUGGGAUAACAGCGCUCAUGCGGCGAUGAGGAGCAAACAGGUUAGAUACCCUGGUAGUCCGCUAAACGAUGUCAACUAGCUGUUGGGGCCUUCAGGCCUUGGUAGCGCAGCUAACGCGUGAAGUUGACCGCCUGGGGGAGUACGGUCGCAAGAUUAAAACUCAAGGUGUGUGGGGACCCGCACAAGCGGUGGAUGAUGUGGAUUAAUUCGAUGCAACGCGAAAACCUUACCUACCCUUGACAUGUCUGGAAUCCCGAAGAGAUUUGGGAGUGCUCGCAAAGAGAACCGGAACACAGGUGCUGCAUGGCUGUCGUCAGCUCGUGUCGUGAGAUGUUGGGUUAAGUCACAGCGAGCGCAGCCACUUGUCAUUAGUUGCUACGAAGAACUUUCUAAUGAGACUGCCGGUGACAAACCGGAGGAAGGUGGGGAUGACGUCAAGUCCUCAGCCCAUAUGGGUGGGGCUUGCACGUCAUGCAAUGGUCGGGACAGAGGGUCGCCAACCCGCGAGCCAAUCCCAGAAACCCGAUCGUAGUCGGAUCGCAGUCUGCAACUCGACUGCGUGAAGUCGGAAUCGCUAGUAAUCGCGGAUCAGCAUGUCACGGUGAAUACGUUCCAGGUCUUGGCACCACCGCCCGUCACACCAUGGGGUGGGUUUACCAAGAAGUAGUUAACCAGCAAGGAGGGCGAUUACCACAGUAGGGAUUCAUGACUGGGGUGAAGUCAAUAACAGGUAAG